RNAcentral lists this ribosomal RNA (2882 nucleotides) under Kappaphycus alvarezii. Its description in RNAcentral is "bacterial LSU rRNA". It matches the Rfam family "Bacterial large subunit ribosomal RNA". The record is from RNAcentral. Lineage: Eukaryota; Rhodophyta; Florideophyceae; Gigartinales; Solieriaceae.
UACAAAAGUAAUUAAGGGCUUACGGUGAAUACCUUGGCAUUUAGAAGCGAUGAAGGGCGUGACUACCAGCGAAAUGCUUCGAGGAGCUGGAAGUAAGCUUUGAUCCGGAGGUACCCGAAUGAGGAAACUCUUUAUACUACCUACUGAAUUUAUAAGUAGGCAAGAGCUAACCUAGCAAACUGAAACAUCUUAGUAGCUAGAGGAAAAGAAAGCAAAAGCGAUUCCCUAAGUAGCGGCGAGCGAAAAGGGAACAGCCUAAACCACUUUAAUGAGUUUUAGUGGGGUUGCGGGACAGAAAAAAACAAAUACAUGCGUUAGGUGAAACAAAUGGAAUUUUGUAUCAUAGAAGGUGACAAUCCUGUAGCUAAAAACAAUUUAUUUGUUUCUGCAUCCCAAGUAGCAUGGGACACGUGAAAUCCUGUCUGAAUAUGGGGGGACCAUCCUCGUAAGGCUAAAUACUCCUGACUGACCGAUAGUGAACCAGUACCGUGAGGGAAAGGCGAAAAGAACCCCGGCGAGGGGAGUGAAAUAGAACCUGAAACCGUGUACGUACAAGCAGUAGAAGAACGACUUAACGUUUAACUUCGUGCAUGUUGAAGAAUGAGCCGGCGACUUACAGGUAGUGGCAGGUUAAAAUAGAAAAUAUUAGAGCCAUAGUGAAAGCGAGCUUAAAUAAAGCGUACGUCACUAUUUGUAGACCCGAACCCGGAUGAUCUAGCCAUGGCCAGGGUGAAGCUUAGGUAAUGCUAAGUGGAGGUCCGAACCGACUGAUGUUGAAAAAUCAGCGGACGAGCUGUGGCUAGGGGUGAAAUGCCAAUCGAAUCCGGAGCUAGCUGGUUCUCCCCGAAAUGCGUUUUGGCGCAGCGCCUCGUGAACUCAUCUUCGGGGGUAGAGCACUGUUUCGGCUAGGGGGCCAUCCCGGCUUACCAAACCGAUGCAAACUCCGAAUACCAAUGAGUACUAUCCGGGAGACAGACUGCGGGUGCUAACGUCCGUAGUCAAGAGGGAAACAACCCAGACCGCCAGCUAAGGUCCCAAAAUCCUAGCUAAGUGGGAAAGCAGGUGGGACGACCAAAACAACCAGGAGGUUGGCUUAGAAGCAGCCAUCCUUUAAAGAGUGCGUAAUAGCUCACUGGUCUAGUGAUCCUGCGCCGAAAAUGAAUGGGACUAAGCUAUUUGCCGAAACUGUGAGAUGUAAAACAUCGGUAGGGGAGCGUUCUGUAAUAGGUUGAAGCAUUAGUGAAAACGAAUGUGGACAAAACAGAAGUGAGAAUGUCGGCUUGAGUAGCGAAAACAUUGGUGAGAAUCCAAUGCCCCGAAAACCUAAGGGUUCCUUCGGAAGGUUCGUCCGCGAAGGGUGAGUCAGGUCCUAAGGCGAGGUUGAAAAGCGUAGUCGAUGGAUAACAGGUUAAUAUUCCUGUACUAUUUACUAUUGAUAUUGAGGGACGGAGAAGGCUAAAUCAGCCGAGUGUUGGUUAUCGGUUUAAAUUCUCGAAGGUGUGGAAGGAUAGAGAAAAUAUCCUGAGCUAAGAAAUGAGUACAAGAUACUACGGUAUUAAAGUGAUUGAUGUCAUACUUCCUAGAAAAGCUCGGCAUAUCUUAAAUAGUAAAUACCUGUACCCAGAACCGACACAGGUAGGUAAGUAGAAUAUACUAAGGGGUGCGAGAUAACUCUCUCUAAGGAACUCGGCAAAAUAGCCCCGUAACUUCGGAAGAAGGGGUGCCCUUGUAGGGUUGCAAUAAAUAGACCCAAGCGACUGUUUAUCAAAAACAUAGGUCUCCGCUAAGUCGUAAGACAAUGUAUGGGGGCUGACGCCUGCCCAGUGCCGGAAGGUUAAAGAAGCUGGUUAGUGUUAAACAAAGCUGGCAACUGAAGCCCCGGUGAACGGCGGCCGUAACUAUAACGGUCCUAAGGUAGCGAAAUUCCUUGUCGGGUAAGUUCCGACCCGCACGAAUGGCGUAACGAUUUGGGUACUGUCUCAGAGAGAGAGACUCGGCGAAAUAGAAUUGUCUGUGAAGAUGCGGACUACCUACACCUGGACAGAAAGACCCUAUGAAGCUUUACUGUAACUUGGAAUUGAAGUUGGGUUUACUUUGUGCAGAAUAGGUGGGAGGCUAAGAUAAUAUAUUUGAGGAUAUAUAGGAGCCGUCAGUGAGAUACCACUCUAAGUACACUAGGCUUCUAACCUUGAAAGCCGUUAACCGGCCAAGGAACAGUUUCAGGCGGGCAGUUUGACUGGGGCGGUCUCCUCCCAAAGAGUAACGGAGGCGCGCGAAGGUUGGCUCAGAGCGGUCGGACAUCGUGAGGUUGAGUGCAAAGGCAUAAGCUAGCUUGACUGCAAGACCUACAAGUCGAGCAGAGACGAAAGUCGGUCUUAGUGAUCCGACAGUUCUGAGUGGAAAGGCUGUCGCUCAACAGAUAAAAGGAACUCUAGGGAUAACAGAUUCAUCGUGACUGCGAGUUCAUAUCUAUGUCACGGUUUGAUACCUCGAUGUCGACUCAUCUUAUCCUGGAGUUGAAGUAAACUCCAAGGGUUUGGCUGUUCGCCAAUUAAAGUGGUACGCGAGCUGGGUUUAGAACGUCGUGAGACAGUUCGGUCCCUAUCUGCCGUGGGCGUUGGAAGAUUGAGGAGGGGUUGCUCCUAGUACGAGAGGACCGGGAGUGAACGCACCUCUGGUGUACCAGUUAUUGUGCCAACUGUAAACGCUGGGUAGCUAAGUAUGUUUAGGAUAACCGCUGAAAGCAUCUAAGUGGGAAGCCAACCUCAAGAUGAGUACUCUUUAAGAUCACGGUUAGACUAACCGUUAGAUAGGCAUCAAGUGUAAGUAUAGUAAUAUAUUCAGCUGAGAUGUACUAAUAGAUCAAACACUUUAAAGUUAGU